This 660-nucleotide ribosomal RNA is filed under the name uncultured bacterium. Its description in RNAcentral is "bacterial SSU rRNA". It matches the Rfam family "Bacterial small subunit ribosomal RNA", at positions 8 to 663 of the family's 1533-position model. The record is from RNAcentral.
AGAGUUUGAUCCUGGCUCAGAUUGAACGCUGGCGGCAUGCCUUACACAUGCAAGUCGAACGGCAGCACGGGAGCAAUCCUGGUGGCGAGUGGCGAACGGGUGAGUAAUAUAUCGGAACGUGCCCAGUCGUGGGGGAUAACGUAGCGAAAGCUACGCUAAUACCGCAUACGAUCUACGGAUGAAAGCGGGGGAUCGCAAGACCUCGCGCGAUUGGAGCGGCCGAUAUCAGAUUAGCUAGUUGGUGGGGUAAAAGCCCACCAAGGCGACGAUCUGUAGCUGGUCUGAGAGGACGACCAGCCACACUGGAACUGAGACACGGUCCAGACUCCUACGGGAGGCAGCAGUGGGGAAUUUUGGACAAUGGGCGAAAGCCUGAUCCAGCAAUGCCGCGUGCAGGACGAAGGCCUUCGGGUUGUAAACUGCUUUUGUACGGAACGAAACGGUCUCUUUUAAUACAGGGGGCUAAUGACGGUACCGUAAGAAUAAGCACCGGCUAACUACGUGCCAGCAGCCGCGGUAAUACGUAGGGUGCAAGCGUUAAUCGGAAUUACUGGGCGUAAAGCGUGCGCAGGCGGUUAUAUAAGACAGAUGUGAAAUCCCCGGGCUCAACCUGGGACCUGCAUUUGUGACUGUAUAGCUAGAGUACGGUAGAGGGGGAUG